RNAcentral lists this ribosomal RNA (310 nucleotides) under Streptococcus pneumoniae. RNAcentral describes it as "bacterial LSU rRNA". It matches the Rfam family "Bacterial large subunit ribosomal RNA", at positions 784 to 1089 of the family's 2925-position model. Lineage: Bacteria; Bacillati; Bacillota; Bacilli; Lactobacillales; Streptococcaceae. The record is from RNAcentral.
GGACAGUUGAAAAGUGCAUGGAUGACGUGUGGGUAGCGGAGAAAUUCCGAACGAACUUGGAGAUAGCCGGUUCUCUCCGAAAUAGCUUUAGGGCUAGCGUCUACAUUAGAGGUUCUUGGAGGUAGAGCACUGUUUGGGUGAGGGGUCCAUCCCGGAUUACCAAGCUCAGAUUAACUCCGAAUGCCAAUGAAUUAUGGUCGGCAGUCAGACUGCUAGUGCUAAGAUCCGUAUUCGAAAGGGAAACAGCCCAGACCACCAGCUGAGGUCCCAAAAUAAUUGUUAAGUGGAAAAGGAUGUGGGGUUGCACAGA